CAGUCGCCGCGGGAAUACAGAGGGUGCGAGCGUUAAUCGGAUUUACUGGGCGUAAAGAGUACGUAGGCGGCUAUUCAAGUCAGAGGUGAAAGCCCGGGGCUCAACCCCGGAACUGCCUUUGAAACUAGGUAGCUAGAAUCUUGGAGAGGUCAGUGGAAUUCCGAGUGUAGAGGUGAAAUUCGUAGAUAUUCGGAAGAACACCAGUGGCGAAGGCGACUGACUGGACAAGUAUUGACGCUGAGGUGCGAAAGCGUGGGGAGCAAACAGGAUUAGAUACCCCAGUAGUCCCUGUCUCUUAUAC
Molecule: ribosomal RNA, 301 nt
Filed under: uncultured bacterium
Lineage: Bacteria
Description: partial 16S ribosomal RNA
Rfam family: Bacterial small subunit ribosomal RNA
Source: RNAcentral